UCACAUCAGAGUGAGGCCUGAGCUGCAGGAGGAGAGCCUGCAGGCCUCAUGGGUAGAAUUGCACCUUCACAAUCAUGGGAAUGUGAGCAGUGUUUCAGCCUCAGUUUCUACUUGUAAUGGUGACAAGGAAAAAAUACUGCUGAAUUUCCAGCAUGAGUCCAGAUAGAGAUAGCUCCAAAAGUUCUCACUGUGAGAGUCCACCUCAUUUGGACACCAUAGGAUAGUAAUAGGGCUUCUGAAACAGACAUCCAAAGCAUUGGAGAGAAAAACAGAUCUCCAUCUGAGCCAGAUUAUUUUGAGAGAAAAAUGUAAAAAAGAUCUUUUAAAAAAGCUCAGGUUAGAUAUCAGAUUGAUCAAAUGAGCCAGAAAAUGUUCCCCUAAAAGCAAUUUCUCUCUAACCACCCAAAGUACACAGCUGCUCUCAUCAUGAGAAACAUGAGCAUUACGAAGAAAGAGGGCAGAUUUUCAGAAGAAUUUUAUAAAGUUUCUUUUCCAUCUCUGCUGCUCUCUCAUCUCCUAGCCACUGAAUGGGGGUUCUAUAUUGAAAUACAUCUGACAACUUCCAACAACACUUUAA
RNAcentral lists this long non-coding RNA (577 nucleotides) under Homo sapiens (human). RNAcentral's name for it is "non-protein coding lnc-ZNF506-6:1". The record is from RNAcentral. Lineage: Eukaryota; Metazoa; Chordata; Mammalia; Primates; Hominidae.